GGGGGUUUAGGAAGGUAUUUUCAAUGUGUUCUUAGUGAAAUUCAAAUGUUGCAGAUUGUAAAAUACAUUUUCGAUGUAACAGCAUACUAAUCAGCUACCAAUAUAUAUAUCUUUUUUUAUCAUUUAUAACUGUCUUGUAUAGGCUACACGAACCUGCAUGACAUGAGCCAUCCUCACGCUCUCUCCCAGCUUGGAUAGAAAAUUGUUGAGUGUAAAACCAGUCUAUUAAUGCCAAAUAAUACAGUCAGUCCACCCUCAAAACACAAAGAAUAGCUAGAUAGGACCAGUCGGCCAGCCGGUCAGAUAGGAGCAGUCGGCCAGAAAGAUAGGACCGGUCGGCCAUCCGGGGGGGGGGGCAAAACAACAAAAUUAAGAGGUAAUGACAGAUGGGGAUAGAGAAAAAUAUAGGAUAAAAUAAGAAUAAAUAGAGAUAUAGAGAGAGAAUGAGUGAGGAAGGAGUAAUGACAGAUGGAUAGAAGAGUAAGGAUUCAAAAACCUCAAACAGAACUGUCUUAUGGAGACUAGCAUCAUUGGGACAACGAUGCGCGUAAGGGUGUGUUGGAGUGUUUGAGGAGUAAUAUAGAUCAGGUACCUGGACAGGUAGUGUUUGAGGAGUGAUAUAGAGCAGGUACCUGGACAGGUAGUGUUUGAGGAGUGUUAUUUAGCAGGUACCUGGACAGGUAGUGUUUGAGGAGUGAUAUAUAGCAGGUACCUGGACAGGUAGUGUUUGAGGAGUGUUAUAUAGCAGGUACCUAGACAGGUGGUGUUUGAGGAGUGUUAUAGAGCAGGUACCUGGACAGGUAGUGUUUGAGGAGUGAUAUAUAGCAGGUACCUGGACAGGUAGUGUUUGAGGAGUGUUAUAUAGCAGGUACCUAGACAGGUGGUGUUUGAGGAGUGUUAUUUAGCAGGUACCUAGACAGGUAGUGUUUGAGGAGUGAUAUAUAGCAGGUACCUGGACAGGUAGUGUUUGAGGAGUGUUUUAUAGCAGGUACCUAGACAGGUAGUGUUUGAGGAGUGUUUAAGAGCAGGUACCUGGACAGGUGGUGUUUGAGGAGUGAUAUAUAGCAGGUACCUGGACAGGUAGUGUUUGAGGAGUGUUAUAUAGCAGGUACCUAGACAGGUGGUGUUUAAAGAGUGUUAUAGAGCAGGUACCUGGACAGGUAGUGUUUGAGGAGUGUUAUAGAGCAGGUACCUGGACAGGUAGUGUUUGAGGAGUGUUAUAGAG
Molecule: long non-coding RNA, 1225 nt
Filed under: Salmo salar (Atlantic salmon)
Lineage: Eukaryota; Metazoa; Chordata; Actinopteri; Salmoniformes; Salmonidae
Description: lncRNA (ENSSSAG00000096539.1)
Source: RNAcentral